CCUACGGGAGGCAGCAGUGGGGGAUAUUGGACAAUGGGGGGAACCCUGAUCCAGCGAAGCCGCGUGAGUGAAGAAGUAUUUCGGUAUGUAAAGCUCUGUCAGCAGGGAAGAAAGAAAUGACGGUACCUGACCAAGAAGCCUCGGCUAACUAAGUGCCAGCAGCCGCGGUAAUACGGAGGGGGCAAGCGUUAUGCGGAAUUACUGGGUGUAAAGGGAGCGUAGACGGUUAAGUAAGUCUGGAGUGAAAGGCCGGGGCCCAACCCCGGGACUGCUCUGGAAACUAGUCAACUUGAGUGCAGGAGAGGUAAGCGGAAUGCCUGGUGUAGCGGUGAAAUGCGUAGAUAUUAGGAGGAACACCAGUGGCGAAGGCGGCUUACUGGACUGUAACUGACGUUGAGGCUCGAAAGCGUGGGGAGCAAACAGGAUUAGAUACCCCUGUAGUC
RNAcentral lists this ribosomal RNA (443 nucleotides) under uncultured bacterium. Its description in RNAcentral is "partial 16S ribosomal RNA". It matches the Rfam family "Bacterial small subunit ribosomal RNA", at positions 338 to 795 of the family's 1533-position model. The record is from RNAcentral.